RNAcentral lists this ribosomal RNA (817 nucleotides) under uncultured Lactobacillus sp. RNAcentral describes it as "bacterial SSU rRNA". It matches the Rfam family "Bacterial small subunit ribosomal RNA", at positions 29 to 805 of the family's 1533-position model. The record is from RNAcentral. Lineage: Bacteria; Bacillati; Bacillota; Bacilli; Lactobacillales; Lactobacillaceae.
ACGAACGCUGGCGGCGUGCCUAAUACAUGCAAGUCGAACGCACUCUCGUUUAGAUUGAAGGAGCUUGCUCCUGAUUGAUAAACAUUUGAGUGAGUGGCGGACGGGUGAGUAACACGUGGGUAACCUGCCCUAAAGUGGGGGAUAACAUUUGGAAACAGAUGCUAAUACCGCAUAAAACCUAACACCGCAUGGUGUAGGGUUGAAAGAUGGUUUCGGCUAUCACUUUAGGAUGGACCCGCGGUGCAUUAGUUAGUUGGUGAGGUAAAGGCUCACCAAGACCGUGAUGCAUAGCCGACCUGAGAGGGUAAUCGGCCACACUGGGACUGAGACACGGCCCAGACUCCUACGGGAGGCAGCAGUAGGGAAUCUUCCACAAUGGACGAAAGUCUGAUGGAGCAACGCCGCGUGAGUGAAGAAGGUUUUCGGAUCGUAAAACUCUGUUGUUGGAGAAGAAUGUAUCUGAUAGUAACUGAUCAGGUAGUGACGGUAUCCAACCAGAAAGCCACGGCUAACUACGUGCCAGCAGCCGCGGUAAUACGUAGGUGGCAAGCGUUGUCCGGAUUUAUUGGGCGUAAAGCGAGCGCAGGCGGUUUCUUAAGUCUGAUGUGAAAGCCUUCGGCUCAACCGAAGAAGUGCAUCGGAAACUGGGAAACUUGAGUGCAGAAGAGGACAGUGGAACUCCAUGUGUAGCGGUGAAAUGCGUAGAUAUAUGGAAGAACACCAGUGGCGAAGGCGGCUGUCUGGUCUGUAACUGACGCUGAGGCUCGAAAGCAUGGGUAGCAAACAGGAUUAGAUACCCUGGUAGUCCAUGCCGUAA